AUACGAAGGUCCCAAGCGUUAUUCGGAAUCACUGGGCGUAAAGAGUACGUAGGCGGUUUGGUAAGUCAGGUGUGAAAUCCCGGAGCUCAACUCCGGAACUGCAUCCGAUACUGCCAGACUUGAGUAAUGGAGAGGCAGGUGGAAUUCUCGGUGUAGCAGUGAAAUGCGUGGAUAUCAAGAGGAAGACCAAUGGCGAAGGCAGCCUGCUGGACAUUUACUGACGCUCAGGUACGAAGGCUAGGGGAGCGAAAGGGAUUAGAAACCCCAGUAGUCC
RNAcentral lists this ribosomal RNA (274 nucleotides) under uncultured bacterium. RNAcentral describes it as "partial 16S ribosomal RNA". It matches the Rfam family "Bacterial small subunit ribosomal RNA", at positions 523 to 796 of the family's 1533-position model. The record is from RNAcentral.